Paramuricea clavata is the source of this 205-nucleotide non-coding RNA. Lineage: Eukaryota; Metazoa; Cnidaria; Anthozoa; Malacalcyonacea; Plexauridae. The record is from the annotation of a GenBank genome assembly.
CUCUUUUUAAAUCGCAACGAUGAGAAAUGGCACUCAUAUAUACUCGUCAAAUAAAAAUUGCCGGUCGAAAUCGCAUUCUUCCGGCACCGUUGGGAAUUGCAUGGAAAACGAAACAUAAACAAUUCCCAAGAGGGAAUUAAAAUUGAAUGUUAAAAUAUCUACAAUGAGCUCAACUCGUCAAUCUUCGUCUCAGUGAGACAAGAAG